Rhincodon typus (whale shark) is the source of this 2993-nucleotide RNA transcript. It is a transcript of the gene named ubiquitin carboxyl-terminal hydrolase 30, with no coding region annotated. Lineage: Eukaryota; Metazoa; Chordata; Chondrichthyes; Orectolobiformes; Rhincodontidae. The transcript is spliced from 14 exons. The record is from RefSeq and is a predicted model, not a curated record.
UGUCUGCUCGACCGCUCUCAACCCCGGGUACCGUCCGGAUUCCCGUCCGGGUGGGAGCCCGGAAGAUUGUUCGCUGCGAGUUUUGGUUCCGGAUCCGUGUGAAAGGGCCGCCGUCACUAUCUCGGAGCGGAGCGUGGGGAUGCGGAGUGGGCCCGGGGCCCGCUCGGAGGCUGGUGACAGACUGGUCCGGGAGUUCCUGCAGAGCGGAGCCACCGUGAGAACCAGAAUGAUGAAGAACUGGGGUGUUAUCGGAGGAAUAGCUGCAGCCUUGGCAGCAAGUAUCUACGUGUUGUGGGGACCACUUACUGAUAGGAAGAAGCGCAGAAAAGGCCUAGUUCCAGGCCUCUUGAACCUGGGAAACACCUGCUUUAUGAACUCGCUGGUCCAGGGUCUGGCUGCUUGUCCGUCCUUCAUUCGCUGGCUCGAUGAUUUUACCAGGCGUUACAACCUGGACAGCCCCCAGGAGGAGCGGUGUCCAUAUCUUUCUGUCACACUUCUCCGAUUGUUGCGAGUGUUAUCCAAUGGGGAAGAGACCACAGAGGAUGUGGUGGAUGCAGGAAGUCUCCUGGAAGUCUUGAGGAUGUACAAGUGGCAGAUGUCUUCGUUUGAAGAGCAGGAUGCUCACGAGUUGUUCCAUGUUCUCACCGCGGCUUUGGAAGACGAACGAGAUCGCCAACCUCGAGUUGCACAUUUAUUCGACGUUCAGUCUCUGGAGACUCCAACAGAACUGGAGGGAAAACAGCUGAGUUGUAGGAGCCGAGGGCCUUUGCUGCCGCCACCAAGUCCCUGGAGAUCUCAGCACCCCUUCCAUGGCCGACUGACCAGUAACAUGGUGUGCAAACGGUGUGAGCAACAGAGUCCCGUGAGGUACGACACAUUUGACAGUCUCUCUCUCAGCAUUCCAACAGUCACGUGGGGCAGACCUGUGACCCUGGACCUCUGCUUGCAACACUUUAUCUCUUCAGAGUAUAUCAAAGACGUGGUGUGUGAGAACUGUACCAAGGCAGGAGAAACACUGAAUGGGCAAACUGCAGAAAGCCAAAGGACAACCUUCAUCAAGCAGCUGAAAAUUGGAAAGCUUCCUCAGUGCCUGUGUAUCCAUCUGCAAAGGCUCUCGUGGUCCAACCAUGGGACGCCCCUGAAACGCAAUGAGCAUGUGCAGUUCAGUGAGCUCCUCUCACUCGAUACCUACAAGUACCGCAGCCCAUCUCAGAGGCUGGGCCAGCGCAGAAUGAGCAGACCGGCCAGCACAGGGAGUUUACCACGAAUGCUAGAGGGCACCAAGCCAGGAUCCACACAGCCCAGCCUCGGUAAAAUGCAAGUUGCAAAUGGAGCAUGCUCAUCAUCCCUGCUGUCAACUUCUUUUGCAACCUCACCAUCUCCUGUUACACAAAGUUAUGCCUCGUCGAUGUAUUUGUUCCGACUGAUGUCAGUGGUUGUCCAUCACGGUGACAUCCACUCAGGCCACUUUGUCACCUACCGUCGCUCGCCAUCGGCGUCAAAGAACCCAGCAGCAGUGAGCAACCAUUGGCUGUGGAUAUCGGACGACACGGUACGCAGAGCCAGCCCGCAGGAAGUCCUUGCCUCCAACGCCUACCUGCUGUUCUACGAGCGAGUUCGGCCGCUAGUGAGGCAAGCGAGCCGCGAACUCGGACCUGAGGAGUGAGCAUGUUGGCAGAGCCAGCCUUUCGGCUGCUGCUGUGAAGGGACAUACAGUCUUCACGGGUUUUUAGAGUAAACCAAUUGCUGGAAGGAAGUGGAGCCCCAUUAUUACCCACCCAGAUUCCCAAUUGAAUAUUUGUGCGGUGAACCAAAAAGAUCAAGAGGUCUAAUGUGUUUAAAUAAAAUAUUAAUUUGCCACCUAAUUCCAUCGCAAAAGAUGACAGUUGAACACUACAGCUUUCCAUCUGCUUCAGUCCUGUUUCAUAAGAAUAGAAGUGGGCCAUUCAGCUCCUUAAGCUCAUGCCAUUUAGCUAGAUCUUGGCUGAUCUAUUCCUGCAUUGUACCGUCUCCUUUGACAGCCUUGAAGAGCAAAAAAUCCAUCACUUCCAGUCUUGAAAAUUCCGAUUAUCUCAUCAGCCUUCUUGGGGCAGACUUCCAGAUUUCCCCCGUCCUAAGUAUGAAAAAGUGCUUCCUGAUACCAUUCCUAAAUGCUUGGCUGUAAGGGUAAUUUAAGAUUGUCUCGGUGAUGUUGUUUCCAUCCCUUGUUAAAUACAUGAUUUCAGAGAUCCCAGCACUAUUCUGCUCAUCUAAGCAGUUUAUCCCAAAGACUUAGGGUAUGAAUCAUGUGCUGUAGACGAAUCGCAGAUUGGGACUCCUUAAAGUGCCCUUAGUUUUGUAUGCUGUCAAAAAGUCUGCUUCAUUUUGUACCUACCGCAUGUCCCCAGGUUGGGAGAAGAUUGACUUUCCAAUGCCACCAGAAAUCUCCUUGGUGAUGGCUGUUAACCUGAGUCCAUGCCCUUCAUUGUAGGCAACAGACCUAUUCCUGAAACAUUCAUUGUAAAAUCAGUGCUUUCCUACUGAGAGGCAUUGAAGGGCAGUGCCAAGGGAGUCUGAUGUGCAGCAGGAUUGUGUGAAAAGACCGGACUGUACCGCAAGCACCUCAAUAUUCUACGUACCCAAUCAUGUGCCUCUGGUCUAGCCCAAAACAGACAUCCUUUGGCGUCAAGCUCCGAAUAAGUUGUUGGUGUGCCAGUUCAUCACCCUGAACUUAUAAAAAAAAGUUGUGCAUCUGUUGUGUCAACAUGCAAGCUGGAGAGAGUGGGAAAUGUUAAAUGUUUGAUUUUUAAUAUUUUUGUGAGAAAAAUAAUGAAAUUCUGAUUGAUUGUAUAAACAAGAAACUACAAAACGAAAGCAUUUUUUGCACUAACUCGUUAAUUGUACAUCUGUGUAUAUGUAUAUAUGAAUUAAAUUGUUGUAGGAGAGGUCAGUUUUAAUUUGUCAGACAGAAAAGUAAUAAAGUUUACUUACGGGCAAACAGAAAAUCUCCAUUU